AGUGAACGCUGGCGGUAGGCCUAACACAUGCAAGUCGAACGGCGGCACAGUAAGAGCUUGCUCUUACGGGUAGCGAGUGGCGGACGGGUGAGGAAUACAUCGGAAUCUACUUUUUCGUGGGGGAUAACGUAGGGAAACUUACGCUAAUACCGCAUACGACCUACGGGUGAAAGCAGGGGAUCUUCGGACCUUGCGCGAUUGAAUGAGCCGAUGUCGGAUUAGCUAGUUGGCGGGGUAAAGGCCCACCAAGGCGACGAUCCGUAGCUGGUCUGAGAGGAUGAUCAGCCACACUGGAACUGAGACACGGUCCAGACUCCUACGGGAGGCAGCAGUGGGGAAUAUUGGACAAUGGGCGCAAGCCUGAUCCAGCCAUACCGCGUGGGUGAAGAAGGCCUUCGGGUUGUAAAGCCCUUUUGUUGGGAAAGAAAAGCAGCAGGUUAAUACCCCGCUGUUCUGACGGUACCCAAAGAAUAAGCACCGGCUAACUUCGUG
RNAcentral lists this ribosomal RNA (492 nucleotides) under uncultured bacterium. Its description in RNAcentral is "partial 16S ribosomal RNA". It matches the Rfam family "Bacterial small subunit ribosomal RNA", at positions 29 to 507 of the family's 1533-position model. The record is from RNAcentral.